CACCCAGUAGCUCAGUGGUUAGAGCGCUGGCUUCGCAAACCAGAGGACCGGGGUUCGAUUCCCCGUCUGGGUGG
RNAcentral lists this transfer RNA (74 nucleotides) under Portunus trituberculatus (swimming crab). RNAcentral's name for it is "tRNA-Ala". It matches the Rfam family "tRNA". From Rfam's summary of the family: Transfer RNA (tRNA) molecules are approximately 80 nucleotides in length. Their secondary structure includes four short double-helical elements and three loops (D, anti-codon, and T loops). Lineage: Eukaryota; Metazoa; Arthropoda; Malacostraca; Decapoda; Portunidae. The record is from RNAcentral.